UAGCAUCCCUUAUAGAGCCCAGCCCAAACACACACAUCACACCCUGAAGAGACCCUCAAUCUGGUGUCUCACAAUUUAGGGCCCCACCUCAGUGCUGUCCUCUAUAGGCCCCAGAAAGUCAUGAGAUUUGUGUGACCCAUGAGUUUUGAAUGUUUGGAGCUGGCCAUACUGCUGAUGCAACAAUUUAUAUAUCCUCCUGUCUAGAGCUUUUUGAAAAAGAUAAGAAGAGGGCAAGGACUUUGCACUCAAGGUGAAGCUAAACCCAUCCUCAGGUGAGGAACUGGCCUUCCUGCUGAGAGGUAUAUGGGGAGCACUAGCCACGACACCACCUGGCCCGGAGUGGAUCAUGCCAUAGAGCUGCCCAGAUCACGCCUGCAAUAACCAGCAGACCUCUCAUCUUCUCUCUCAUUUAAGGCCCAGAGUUAGCCUGGAAUAUGGAUUAGGAAAUUCAGAGAGACUGAUCCAGAGCCUGGAGUAUUGCCUCUGCUCCGCUUCGCCGACCAUGGUUAAGGCAACACCUGGUGGGCCCUUUACCCUGGCAGUAACUUGGAACUAGGGCAGUCAAGCGAUUAAAAAAAUUAAUCACGAUUAAUCGCGCUGUUAACA
Molecule: long non-coding RNA, 606 nt
Organism: Trachemys scripta elegans
Lineage: Eukaryota; Metazoa; Chordata; Testudines; Emydidae
Exons: 5
Source: RefSeq, a predicted model, not a curated record